AAUGGGUCAGCGACUUAUAUUCUGUAGCAAGGUUAACCGAAUAGGGGAGCCGAAGGGAAACCGAGUCUUAACUGGGCGUUAAGUUGCAGGGUAUAGACCCGAAACCCGGUGAUCUAGCCAUGGGCAGGUUGAAGGUUGGGUAACACUAACUGGAGGACCGAACCGACUAAUGUUGAAAAAUUAGCGGAUGACUUGUGGCUGGGGGUGAAAGGCCAAUCAAACCGGGAGAUAGCUGGUUCUCCCCGAAAGCUAUUUAGGUAGCGCCUCGUGAAUUCAUCUCCGGGGGUAGAGCACUGUUUCGGCAAGGGGGUCAUCCCGACUUACCAACCCGAUGCAAACUGCGAAUACCGGAGAAUGUUAUCACGGGAGACACACGGCGGGUGCUAACGUCCGUCGUGAAGAGGGAAACAACCCAGACCGCCAGCUAAGGUCCCAAAGUCAUGGUUAAGUGGGAAACGAUGUGGGAAGGCCCAGACAGCCAGGAUGUUGGCUUAGAAGCAGCCAUCAUUUAAAGAAAGCGUAAUAGCUCACUGGUCGAGUCGGCCUGCGCGGAAGAUGUAACGGGGCUAAACCAUGCACCGAAGCUGCGGCAGCGACGCUUAUGCGUUGUUGGGUAGGGGAGCGUUCUGUAAGCCUGUGAAGGUGUGCUGUGAGGCAUGCUGGAGGUAUCAGAAGUGCGAAUGCUGACAUAAGUAACGAUAAAGCGGGUGAAAAGCCCGCUCGCCGGAAGACCAAGGGUUCCUGUCCAACGUUAAUCGGGGCAGGGUGAGUCGACCCCUAAGGCGAGGCCGAAAGGCGUAGUCGAUGGGAAACAGGUUAAUAUUCCUGUACUUGGUGUUACUGCGAAGGGGGGACGGAGAAGGCUAUGUUGGCCGGGCGACGGUUGUCCCGGUUUAAGCGUGUAGGCUGGUUUUCCAGGCAAAUCCGGAAAAUCAAGGCUGAGGCGUGAUGACGAGGCACUACGGUGCUGAAGCAACAAAUGCCCUGCUUCCAGGAAAAGCCUCUAAGCAUCAGGUAACAUCAAAUCGUACCCCAAACCGACACAGGUGGUCAGGUAGAGAAUACCAAGGCGCUUGAGAGAACUCGGGUGAAGGAACUAGGCAAAAUGGUGCCGUAACUUCGGGAGAAGGCACGCUGAUAUGUAGGUGAAGUCCCUCGCGGAUGGAGCUGAAAUCAGUCGAAGAUACCAGCUGGCUGCAACUGUUUAUUAAAAACACAGCACUGUGCAAACACGAAAGUGGACGUAUACGGUGUGACGCCUGCCCGGUGCCGGAAGGUUAAUUGAUGGGGUUAGCGGUAACGCGAAGCUCUUGAUCGAAGCCCCGGUAAACGGCGGCCGUAACUAUAACGGUCCUAAGGUAGCGAAAUUCCUUGUCGGGUAAGUUCCGACCUGCACGAAUGGCGUAAUGAUGGCCAGGCUGUCUCCACCCGAGACUCAGUGAAAUUGAACUCGCUGUGAAGAUGCAGUGUACCCGCGGCAAGACGGAAAGACCCCGUGAACCUUUACUAUAGCUUGACACUGAACAUUGAGCCUUGAUGUGUAGGAUAGGUGGGAGGCUUUGAAGUGUGGACGCCAGUCUGCAUGGAGCCGACCUUGAAAUACCACCCUUUAAUGUUUGAUGUUCUAACGUUGACCCGUAAUCCGGGUUGCGGACAGUGUCUGGUGGGUAGUUUGACUGGGGCGGUCUCCUCCUAAAGAGUAACGGAGGAGCACGAAGGUUGGCUAAUCCUGGUCGGACAUCAGGAGGUUAGUGCAAUGGCAUAAGCCAGCUUGACUGCGAGCGUGACGGCGCGAGCAGGUGCGAAAGCAGGUCAUAGUGAUCCGGUGGUUCUGAAUGGAAGGGCCAUCGCUCAACGGAUAAAAGGUACUCCGGGGAUAACAGGCUGAUACCGCCCAAGAGUUCAUAUCGACGGCGGUGUUUGGCACCUCGAUGUCGGCUCAUCACAUCCUGGGGCUGAAGUAGGUCCCAAGGGUAUGGCUGUUCGCCAUUUAAAGUGGUACGCGAGCUGGGUUUAGAACGUCGUGAGACAGUUCGGUCCCUAUCUGCCGUGGGCGCUGGAGAACUGAGGGGGGCUGCUCCUAGUACGAGAGGACCGGAGUGGACGCAUCACUGGUGUUCGGGUUGUCAUGCCAAUGGCACUGCCCGGUAGCUAAAUGCGGAAGAGAUAAGUGCUGAAAGCAUCUAAGCACGAAACUUGCCCCGAGAUGAGUUCUCCCUGACUCCUUGAGAGUCCUGAAGGAACGUUGAAGACGACGACGUUGAUAGGCCGGGUGUGUAAGCGCAGCGAUGCGUUGAGCUAACCGGUACUAAUGAACCGUGAG
RNAcentral lists this ribosomal RNA (2323 nucleotides) under Escherichia coli. RNAcentral's name for it is "partial 23S ribosomal RNA". It matches the Rfam family "Bacterial large subunit ribosomal RNA", at positions 614 to 2915 of the family's 2925-position model. The record is from RNAcentral. Lineage: Bacteria; Pseudomonadati; Pseudomonadota; Gammaproteobacteria; Enterobacterales; Enterobacteriaceae.